AGUGAACGCUGGCGGUAGGCCUAAAACAUGAAAGUCGAACGGCAGCACAGUAAAAGCUGGCCUUUACGGUUGGCGAGUGGCGGACGGGUGAGGAAUCCAUCGGAUCCUCCUUUUUCGGGGGGGAUAACGUAGGGAAACUUACGCUAAAACCGCAUACGACUACCGGUGGAAACAAGGGGAUCUUCGGACCUUCGCCGAUUAAUUGAGCCGAUGUCGGAUUAGCUAGUUGGCGGGGUAAAGGCCCACCAAGGCGACGAUCCGUAGCUGGUCUGAGAGGAUGAUCAGCCACACUGGAACUGAGACACGGUCCAGACUCCUACGGGAGGCAGCAGUGGGGAAUAUUGGACAAUGGGCGCAAGCCUGAUCCAGCCAUACCGCGUGGGUGAAGAAGGCCUUCGGGUUGUAAAGCCCUUUUGUUGGGAAAGAAAAGCAGCAGGUUAAUACCCCGCUGUUCUGACGGUACCCAAAGAAUAAGCACCGGCUAACUUCGUG
RNAcentral lists this ribosomal RNA (492 nucleotides) under uncultured bacterium. Its description in RNAcentral is "partial 16S ribosomal RNA". It matches the Rfam family "Bacterial small subunit ribosomal RNA", at positions 29 to 507 of the family's 1533-position model. The record is from RNAcentral.